UCUCCGUUGGUGAACCAGCGGAGGGAUCAUUACCGAGUUAUUCUACUCCCAAACCAUUGUGAACGUUACCUAUCCCGUUGCUUCGGCGGGCGGCCCGGGCCCCGCGCCCGGCGCCCCCCGGCCCCCCGUGGGCGCCCGCCGGAGGUAAACCAAACCCUUGAAUUGCAUGGCCUCUCUGAGUCUUCUGUACUGAAUAAGUCAAAACUUUCAACAACGGAUCUCUUGGUUCUG
RNAcentral lists this unclassified non-coding RNA (231 nucleotides) under plant metagenome. RNAcentral's name for it is "partial contains small subunit ribosomal RNA, internal transcribed spacer 1, and 5.8S ribosomal RNA". The record is from RNAcentral.